RNAcentral lists this ribosomal RNA (253 nucleotides) under uncultured bacterium. Its description in RNAcentral is "partial 16S ribosomal RNA". It matches the Rfam family "Bacterial small subunit ribosomal RNA", at positions 524 to 776 of the family's 1533-position model. The record is from RNAcentral.
UACGAAGGGGGCUAGCGUUGCUCGGAAUCACUGGGCGUAAAGGGUGCGUAGGCGGGUCUUUAAGUCAGGGGUGAAAUCCGGGAGCUCAACUCCAGAACUGCCUUUGAUACUGAGGAUCUUGAGUUCGGGAGAGGUGAGUGGAACUGCGAGUGUAGAGGUGAAAUUCGUAGAUAUUGGGAAGAACACCGGUGGCGAAGGCGACAGUCUGGCUCUAUACUGACACUGAGGCGCGAAGGCGUGGGGAGCAAACAGG